RNAcentral lists this long non-coding RNA (856 nucleotides) under Saimiri boliviensis boliviensis (Bolivian squirrel monkey). Its description in RNAcentral is "lncRNA (ENSSBOG00000036760.1)". The record is from RNAcentral. Lineage: Eukaryota; Metazoa; Chordata; Mammalia; Primates; Cebidae.
GACUCGGAGGCCUGGCGCAGGGCCCCGCUCCGUGGUGGGGGUUUGAGGGCUGGGCGGCCAACAGGUGGGCCGUUGCAAGUCGCUAUAUGGCUGGCAGGGAUUCCAUCCAGACCCGACAGCUCUCAACCAGCUGCUUCUUGAGCUCUGGCUACCCUGGUGGUCUUCAGCGCUCUGCUUCUCCAAGGAGUUUAUGGAAUGUGGACCUAGUCAAGCCUGUUCUGAGUCAUCAAGUGUGUGAGAUGGGAAUAAACAGCUGCUGCUACUGUAAUAUCGGGCAUUCACUUCACAGACACUGUUGGGGACCUCCUGUGCAUGCCGCGUGUGGGGGAAAGAGACAUACCCAACGCUACACAGGGUCUGUGCCCUUGGGGACCCUUCCAUCAAAUGGUAAUAAGAUAGAAACAUCCAGAAAGAGUCACCAGAGGGGCCAAUUAGGAAAGGCUCUCUAGUGGGUCAGAUGGACCUAGAGAGGAGCCUUGGAAGUUGGCACCUUCUAACCUGGCAUGAGGAAGAGUUCCUUGUUGGAGAAAGUUGGAGAUGAUCUUGGGGUCCUGCCUUGUUGCUGGAGAGAUGUGACUCAUAAACCAGCAGGUGAUGCAGACUGGGAUAGGACUUUUCUGGCCAUAGCCCUACCCUCUGCAUGUCCCAACUCAGGGACCAGCAAGUCCCCAUCAAUGUGGUCUAUGGACUGGAGUCAAAUCUGAUUCUCAGUCCCUCGCCAUGGUGGCCUCUCUGCAUCUCCAUGAUGCAAACAUUUGUAUAGAGUCUACCUGGUGUGCAGGCCACUGUGCCCUCAGCCCAAAGAUGGCAGAAUGUGGCUUGGGAAUCCUAUAUACCAGGCUUGGCUUCUGCUGUG